Molecule: ribosomal RNA, 253 nt
Filed under: uncultured bacterium
Lineage: Bacteria
Description: partial 16S ribosomal RNA
Rfam family: Bacterial small subunit ribosomal RNA
Source: RNAcentral
UACGUAGGGGGCAAGCGUUGUCCGGAAUCAUUGGGCGUAAAGCGCGUGCAGGCGGCUUGGUAAGUCCGCUCUGAAAGCCCGGGGCUCAACCCCGGGAGGCGGGUGGAUACUGUCAAGCUCGAGUCCGGAAGAGGCGAGUGGAAUUCCUGGUGUAGCGGUGAAAUGCGCAGAUAUCAGGAGGAACACCAAUGGCGAAGGCAGCUCGCUGGGACGUGACUGACGCUGAGACGCGAAAGCGUGGGGAGCAAACAGG